Molecule: ribosomal RNA, 500 nt
Filed under: Sphingomonas mucosissima
Lineage: Bacteria; Pseudomonadati; Pseudomonadota; Alphaproteobacteria; Sphingomonadales; Sphingomonadaceae
Description: bacterial SSU rRNA
Rfam family: Bacterial small subunit ribosomal RNA
Source: RNAcentral
AACGAGGCUUCGGCCUUAGUGGCGCACGGGUGCGUAACGCGUGGGAAUCUGCCCUUUGGUUCGGAAUAACAGUUGGAAACGACUGCUAAUACCGGAUGACGACGUAAGUCCAAAGAUUUAUCGCCGAGGGAUGAGCCCGCGUAAGAUUAGCUAGUUGGUGUGGUAAAGGCGCACCAAGGCGACGAUCUUUAGCUGGUCUGAGAGGAUGAUCAGCCACACUGGGACUGAGACACGGCCCAGACUCCUACGGGAGGCAGCAGUGGGGAAUAUUGGACAAUGGGCGAAAGCCUGAUCCAGCAAUGCCGCGUGAGUGAUGAAGGCCUUAGGGUUGUAAAGCUCUUUUACCCGGGAUGAUAAUGACAGUACCGGGAGAAUAAGCUCCGGCUAACUCCGUGCCAGCAGCCGCGGUAAUACGGAGGGAGCUAGCGUUAUUCGGAAUUACUGGGCGUAAAGCGCACGUAGGCGGCUUUGUAAGUUAGAGGUGAAAGCCUGGAGCUCAA